Molecule: ribosomal RNA, 165 nt
Filed under: Crepidiastrum grandicollum
Lineage: Eukaryota; Viridiplantae; Streptophyta; Magnoliopsida; Asterales; Asteraceae
Also listed under: 1 other name
Description: 5.8S rRNA
Rfam family: 5.8S ribosomal RNA
About the family: 5.8S ribosomal RNA (5.8S rRNA) is a component of the large subunit of the eukaryotic ribosome. It is transcribed by RNA polymerase I as part of the 45S precursor that also contains 18S and 28S rRNA.
Source: RNAcentral
AAAAACGACUCUCGGCAACGGAUAUCUCGGCUCACGCAUCGAUGAAGAACGUAGCAAAAUGCGAUACUUGGUGUGAAUUGCAGAAUCCCGUGAAUCAUCGAGUUUUUGAACGCAAGUUGCGCCCAAAACCAUCCGGUUGAGGGCACGCCUGCCUGGGCGUCACAC